RNAcentral lists this ribosomal RNA (541 nucleotides) under uncultured Pseudomonadota bacterium. Its description in RNAcentral is "bacterial SSU rRNA". It matches the Rfam family "Bacterial small subunit ribosomal RNA", at positions 57 to 595 of the family's 1533-position model. The record is from RNAcentral. Lineage: Bacteria; Pseudomonadati; Pseudomonadota.
GCAGUCGACGGCAGCACGGGGGCAACCCUGGUGGCGAGUGGCGAACGGGUGAGUAAUACAUCGGAACGUGCCCAGUAGUGGGGGAUAGCCCGGCGAAAGCCGGAUUAAUACCGCAUACGACCUAAGGGUGAAAGCGGGGGACCGUAAGGCCUCGCGCUAUUGGAGCGGCCGAUGGCAGAUUAGCUUGUUGGUGGGGUAAAAGCCUACCAAGGCGACGAUCCGUAGCUGGUCUGAGAGGACGACCAGCCACACUGGGACUGAGACACGGCCCAGACUCCUACGGGAGGCAGCAGUGGGGAAUUUUGGACAAUGGGCGAAAGCCUGAUCCAGCAAUGCCGCGUGUGUGAAGAAGGCCUUCGGGUUGUAAAGCACUUUUGGCGGGAACGAAAUGGUCUGGGCUAAUACCCCGGGCCGAUGACGGUACCCGCAGAAUAAGCACCGGCUAACUACGUGCCAGCAGCCGCGGUAAUACGUAGGGUGCAAGCGUUAAUCGGAAUUACUGGGCGUAAAGCGUGCGCAGGCGGUUGUGCAAGACAGAUGU